UCCUGCGAUCCCUUCACUUCCCUCCAAAUGCCACACAGGCAGAGCGGACUUAAUCAAAUGCCAUCGAACAGCUUCUGAAUUGGCCGCCGCCCUCACAUCCGCGUCAUGCGCUCCCCUCCAUCCUCCCCCAUCGCCUACGCUGGUACGCCCUGGACCCUGCAGUGCCUCCCCUCCCACGACGCCUGCAACGACGGCGGCACGAUCCGUGGCACCUGUCUCCGUCGAUCUCGGGUAGGAAAGGGACUCCACUGCCUCCGUCGGUUGCGAUCUAUGGCGCCCGUCUCAACACAGCCACCAUGGACAUCCUCCGCCCGCCUUCGGCCACAAGCGAGCGCGAGAUCCCUGCGACCCCACGCGCUGCAAGAGGGGAGCAAAGGAGUGCGCGGAUCCUAGGGGAGACCUAAAUCUCAUGCCACCGUCGCCUCAGCAGGGUACAGAUCGUUCUCCCCGUGCCCGGCAACCGAGUGGAAGAGCGCGGCCCUCUCGGCAUCGAUGCACGCUCCUCCCUGCUGCCCCCCCGUUGGUUCGGAUGGCCGGUGCAGCCACGCCAUGGUCGAGUUCGCCCACCGCAGUGAGUCUCCCAUGGAGAGCUCUGCUUCAUCCCAAAGAGGCCGUACGCUCUGCUCCCUUUGCUUUCCUUUUCUUUUCCUCGUUUCUUUGAGUCUGGGAUAUUUUUAGUUUUUCAGAGUGGAACAAGACGCAUCUGGGAGGAGUUCAAGAAGGAGGAGGAGGUACGCCCGCACUUUAUUUGCAGUAAAAGAUAUUCAUGUAUAUAGCUUACUUUCGUUCUUGCACUCCAAUAUUCAGUGUAUCGAUAUGCUCCUUUAGCACUGACUACUGAGUCACUUGUCUUGUGUUCAUGAUACUGACUUGCUCAUUGAAAGUCAUGAUCAAAUUUUCUCAUGUUCUGACAAUAUUUCUUUGGUAGAUAUAAUCUCAAAUCAUGAAUUCUGAACUUUUGCACAGAGAUGCUUUAUCUAUAAUAUCUCUAAUGCACAGCGAUGCUUUAUCUAUAAUAUCUCGAAUGCACAGCGAUGCUUUAUCUACAGAAUCUCGAAUGCAUGUAUGAACUGUGCUCUCCUCAUCCCCGCCCAGUGAAUUUCCGUCUCAAAUCGAUUGGAUCUGGGGAUUUUUUUUGGUUUUGUUUGGGUUGCAGCUUCCCGUGAACGACGAGCUGCUGUGGGAUAACGGCACGCCCUUCCCGGAACCCUGCAUCGACCGCCUCGCCCCGCACAUCGGCAAGUACGAGGCGUUGGCGUGGCUGUGCAGAGGGCUGGGGUUCUUCGCUGCCCUUGGCGUGGCUGCUGCUGUGAACGACAAGGCCUCCAAGAUACCAUAUGUGAGUGUGCAUUGCUAGCUGUUGUUUCUCUGAUUGCAUUUUGAUCUUUCAGUGUUUGUUGUGUUGUGCUAUAGAGAUCACUCCACCUACUGUAACUAUAUUUCUACUAUGCUAUUUUAAAUACUUGCCUCCUUGGGUUAUUGUUAAGUUACUAGAAGAUAUUAUUACUUAAAAGUUCCUAUCAGACAAAAUGGUAAUAUUGCUUUCAAAUGUUGAAAAUCUGGACCCUCAUAGAAGAUGUCUGUGAUUUUGCAUGCCUAUAGAUAUCACUCCACCUAUGGUAAGCUAACAUUUUGUAGGAAAAAAAACUGGGAAAUGGGUUGGUGGAAUUGAGGUAACAGAUUCACUAUGAGCAAAGCCUUCUCUUGCUCCUACUGUUUAGCCUUUAUUCGGUAAGCAGAUUCAUAAGCAGUGUUUUCCUAGACAUUAAACGGUGUGAGGCACCUACUGUUUAGCCUUUAUUCGGGCUAAAUGGUCAAUUAAAUGGGUUCAACCGCCGAUUAAACAGAAAUAGGGUACCACAGUGUAGCGUUUUCAUGGUGUUUAAAUUGGCUAAAUUAAUCACUGGAGCACUCUCUCGGUUUCAUCCGUCAGAGACAAGGACUCCGACGAAGACCCAACAGGUAUGCCCACCCUUCUCUUCCCUUUGUGCUGUGCGAAAUACAACUAAAAAGAACAAAAGAUGUUGUGCGAAAUCGAGCACCCGAACCUCAUUCGUUCAUUCCUUGUCUAAUUCUUAUUGCAGCCAAUGUGAUUCGUUUGUUCCAUCCUGUGACUUAUUGGGUUGAUUUUUUCUGUCUAAGAACAGAAUCUGAUUAGAUUUUUUUUCAAUCAGAAAAAAUUAGAUGCCCUGAUUUCAACGAUCAGGUGUUGGUAGGCUGGCUGCGCUUAGAUGGUGCUAUAUGUGCAAAUGCUUUCUUGCUCCCAUUAUUCUUUACCAUAUACAUAUGAAACAAAUGCGCAGACUGAAAGCUGAAAGGCUACCCUGAUGAAAGUGGAUCUAGGUUGGAGCAGAUACUUUACUAGGCUAGAACAGUUACUAUAUAUUAACUACUAAUGUGACUUCAGAGUCCAGACACUUGAUAAAGCCCAUUUAGCAGAUAGUUGAAACUUUAGAGCAGUGAGAAGAUGGACAAGAGACACAUUCAGCACUUAUCUGACUAGAUCACGUCUUCCUGCCACUGUUAGUACCCUCCAUGGCCAUUACCUUUGCAGUUGGACCAAGGAAAAAAAAUUCUAUCUUUCGUCAUAAGUAAGGCCGAUUUACAUUAUUUUGUACUGGUAGAUUCCUACAGUGCAGUAGGUGAACUAGAUCAAUACCACCAGACCUUACGUAAUCAACAAAAUAGCUGUAGACUUCUCUUGAAGCUGUAGUGAAGUUCCUAUGCGACUGAUGCUAAUAUUCAUUUUGGGUUUUGGCUUCCAGGGUUUGCAGGGUACCAAUUCUGCUGGACUUUAACUACGUCCUGGCUUCUGGCACAGGUGGAUGAUAGUGAACUUCAUGAUACUUAGCCUUUGAAUUAGCAGAUGCUGCUAUCUGUUAAGAGCUUCUAGGUGAAAUUACAAAUUGCCUUGAGAGUUCUUUCUCAAUAGGGUGUAGCCAUGAAUUGAAAAACAUACCUAAAAUUAUUUGUUUUGUCAAGAUGACCCUGUUCAGUAGCAGUAGGAAAGAAUAUGGUAUUUUGCACGGGACAAUUAACGCUGAUGAUUGGCAAAAAAUGAAUAUUACAUACAUGGUGCUCAAAAUGGCUUUUUAAUAAUAGAAACAAAACAUGUUGAAA
RNA transcript from Sorghum bicolor (sorghum), 3120 nucleotides. It is a transcript of the gene named NADH dehydrogenase [ubiquinone] 1 beta subcomplex subunit 8, mitochondrial, with no coding region annotated. The record is from RefSeq and is a predicted model, not a curated record. NCBI's taxonomy places the organism in Eukaryota, Viridiplantae, Streptophyta, Magnoliopsida, Poales, Poaceae. The transcript has 3 exons.